This 153-nucleotide ribosomal RNA is filed under the name uncultured Alphaproteobacteria bacterium. RNAcentral's name for it is "partial 16S ribosomal RNA". It matches the Rfam family "Bacterial small subunit ribosomal RNA", at positions 335 to 504 of the family's 1533-position model. Lineage: Bacteria; Pseudomonadati; Pseudomonadota; Alphaproteobacteria. The record is from RNAcentral.
ACUCCUACGGGAGGCAGCAGUGGGGAAUCUUAGACAAUGGGCGCAAGCCUGAUCUAGCCAUGCCGCGUGAGUGACGAAGGCCUUAGGGUCGUAAAGCUCUUUCGCCAGAGAUGAUAAUGACAGUANNCUGGUAAAGAAACCCCGGCUAACUCC